Molecule: long non-coding RNA, 225 nt
Filed under: Mytilus galloprovincialis (Mediterranean mussel)
Lineage: Eukaryota; Metazoa; Mollusca; Bivalvia; Mytilida; Mytilidae
Source: RNAcentral
GUCCCUUUUUAUUAAAUGUUUUACUAUUUCCGUUUUUUUUUGUCUUGUUUUAAGCGCAAUAUGUCUUGAAGAUCUUUUUAAGGUGUGUUUGUGUGUGUGUGUGUGAACUAUGUGUGUGGUAUCAACAAAUUCCGAACAAGAAUGGUACACUGACAAGUACGAUAAUGACCACAAAGAAUCAUUCUUUCUUUUUAUCUAUAUACAAUGUAUAUAGCUGUCUUUGUA